RNAcentral lists this ribosomal RNA (253 nucleotides) under uncultured bacterium. RNAcentral describes it as "partial 16S ribosomal RNA". It matches the Rfam family "Bacterial small subunit ribosomal RNA", at positions 524 to 776 of the family's 1533-position model. The record is from RNAcentral.
GACAGAGGUGCCGAGCGUUAGGCGGAAUCACUGGGCUUAAAGCGUGUGUAGGCGGGCGGGCAAGUACCUUGUGAAAUCCCACGGCUCAACCGUGGAACUGCUGGGUAUACUGCCUGUCUUGAGCCAGCCAGGGGCAGUCGGAACAGACGGUGGAGCGGUGAAAUGCGCAGAUAUCAGGAGGAACACCGGUGGCGAAGGCGGGUCUCUGGGCCGGAACUGACGCUGAGGAGCGAAAGCGUGGGGAGCGAACAGG